GAAACGCGAUAGUUAAUGUGAAUUGCAGAAUUCAGUGAAUCAUCGAGUCUUUGAACGCACAUUGCGCCCAUAGGUAUUCCUUUGGGCAUGUCGGUUUGAGCGUCAUUACAACCCUCAGCUAACCGCUGGUUUUGAACCUGAACGGGUGACACCGCGCCGGUUUUAAAGUUGUAAGCUCUGCUGGCCGCUCUGCCCAACCAGAACAUAGUAAGCACUACUUGUCCGGGUGAAGCUGAACGGUACGGCCUGAACAAAACCUACCCACUCUCAAGGUUUGACCUCAGAUCAGACAAGGAUACCCGCUGAACUUAAGC
RNAcentral lists this unclassified non-coding RNA (314 nucleotides) under plant metagenome. Its description in RNAcentral is "partial contains 5.8S ribosomal RNA, internal transcribed spacer 2, and large subunit ribosomal RNA". The stretch from base 1 to 105 matches the Rfam family "5.8S ribosomal RNA", at positions 50 to 154 of the family's 154-position model. The record is from RNAcentral.